RNAcentral lists this transfer RNA (72 nucleotides) under Bos taurus (domestic cattle). It matches the Rfam family "tRNA". Rfam says of the family: Transfer RNA (tRNA) molecules are approximately 80 nucleotides in length. Their secondary structure includes four short double-helical elements and three loops (D, anti-codon, and T loops). Further hydrogen bonds mediate the characteristic L-shaped molecular structure. tRNAs have two regions of fundamental functional importance: the anti-codon, which is responsible for specific mRNA codon recognition, and the 3' end, to which the tRNAs corresponding amino acid is attached (by aminoacyl-tRNA synthetases). tRNAs cope with the degeneracy of the genetic code in two manners: having more than one tRNA (with a specific anti-codon) for a particular amino acid; and 'wobble' base-pairing, i.e. permitting non-standard base-pairing at the 3rd anti-codon position. Lineage: Eukaryota; Metazoa; Chordata; Mammalia; Artiodactyla; Bovidae. The record is from Rfam by way of RNAcentral. RNAcentral also lists the same sequence under 3 other names.
UCCCAGAUGGCUCAGAGGUUAAAGCAUCUGCCUGCAAUGCGGGAGACCUGGGUUCGAUCCCUAGGUCAGGAA